RNAcentral lists this long non-coding RNA (1791 nucleotides) under Pogona vitticeps (central bearded dragon). RNAcentral's name for it is "lncRNA (ENSPVIG00000003769.1)". Lineage: Eukaryota; Metazoa; Chordata; Lepidosauria; Squamata; Agamidae. The record is from RNAcentral.
UAGAUGUAUUUCUAGCGUAGGUGCAGCUGGUGCACCAGUCUAGCGUGGCAAAUGCAUCCCUGGCUACAGUUUCUUACAACCAAUCAUCCAGGUCUCCCCCUUUUUUGUCGUAACCGAUCGCGGCCUUUCCCUAGCCAGAACGCCACCUCUUAAUAGAGGCGGGCUCAAAACUUCAAACAACUUUUCCUGUUAAUAAAAGAAUUUUAUUAACCAGGCUGUAAAAACAGGCUGCCUGGCACAGCUUGUAACAGAAGCCUGUAUGUAGCAAGGUUUCAGUAGACCAACAGAUUCUUGACAGUGUGCUCCGUUGUAAUGCUCUUCUUGCAAUUUCUGUUGUUGCUGCUGAAAAGAUGGCUGCUCCUUUAGACUGUUCUCGGCUGAUUCAGGAGCACCGGGAACGGCUCCUGCGUUGGAUUGAACCCAGCCCAGCUCCGUUGCUCCGUCGACUCUGGGAUGGUGGGGUCCUCACCCAGCCGGAGUACUUCUCCUUGCUGGAAACCAGUCCCAAGACAAACCAAGUCAUUGCGCUUCUGGACAGAGUCAGUGGGAAGCUGGAGGACAGCCAGAAAUUCCUGGAAGAGCUGAAAGAACUCAACGAGGUGUAUUGCCCUGAGCUACAGCAAUGGCUGCAGGAACACUGCCCUGAAGAAGAAAAACGAGAUGUGCCUCUGAUCCAGACAGAGCCUUUUCCCAGACCUUCCAAAAGAUCUUUCCUGAAAUUUUGGAAAUCAAAGAAAUACAAGUUUCCAACAACAUCUGCAGGCAAGUCAGUCUCCCCCAUGACCUCAUAAGGAUGUUUCUAUUUCUUUUUCUGUUUAUUAUACAGUGGUGCCUCGCAUAACGAUGUUAAUUGGUUCCAUUAAAAAUAUCGUUAUGUGCAAACAUCGUUAAGCGAAACACCAUUUCCCAUAGGAAUGCAUUGAAAACCGGUUAAUCCGUUCCAAUAGGAGCCUAUUCAAUACAUUUCAAUGGUGAAAACAAAAUCACCAAAAAUUCAAAAAGACUCAGAACGAAGCCAAAUUACUUUAACGAAGGUUUUAUUAGGUGCACUAAUGAUUCCAAGCAUUUUAAACAUUUUCUAAACAUUUUAGAAUAUUUUUAAAAUAGCAAAAACAGGGCUGUCAAAAAAAACGUUAAGCGAAACAGGGGACCUAAAACUGUCAUCGUUAAGUGAAGCAAGGUCCCAAACAUCGUUAUGCGAAAAUCCCCCAUAGGAAACAUCGUUAGGUGAGGCGGCAAAAUUUCCAGCAAAGGCCAUCAUUAUGUGAAUUCAUCGUUGAGCGAGGCACUCGUUAAGCGAGGCACCACUGUAUUUGUAUUCUGCUUAGUGGUGUAGUGGCGCCACAGCUUGCAAGGCUGAAACCCCGGGAUUUCCUGUGAUAUUAUCUGUAGCCCCAAUUCGGUUUGAGCUUAGUUGCAGUUCUCACAGUAUGCUGUGAACGCAAUGCAUUUUCCUAGAAACAACAUACCGUUGCAAGUUGUCUCUUUUAUCUCCGGGGAUGGUUUGGUCCUGAAGGGGUAGUUAGGAGCCAUGAGCUUUACAGAAGACCUGCUCCUUAAGGGUUAGUUUGGUCGAUUCACUUGUCCAAAUAUUUGGACUUUCCUAAUAGAGCAUGGUGACCUUAGCAGCUGUCAUGAUGAUCUAUGGAAUUUCGAAUUUAGCAUGAAAGCAGUGCUUUCUGUUUUUCAGCCAAGAUGUGUUUCUAAGCCUCUUACAAUUGGAUUCAUGUACAGUGAUAUGACAAGGUGGAUCGGACCUGAUUCCUUGUAGACAGAGUGUUAAGUAACAGC